CAGUUCGCCGCGGGAAUACAGAGGGUGCAAGCGUUAAUCGGAAUUACUGGGCGUAAAGCGCGCGUAGGUGGUUUGUUAAGUUGGAUGUGAAAUCCCCGGGCUCAACCUGGGAACUGCAUCCAAAACUGGCAAGCUAGAGUAUGGUAGAGGGUGGUGGAAUUUCCUGUGUAGCGGUGAAAUGCGUAGAUAUAGGAAGGAACACCAGUGGCGAAGGCGACCACCUGGACUGAUACUGACACUGAGGUGCGAAAGCGUGGGGAGCAAACAGGAUUAGAUACCCGAGUAGUCCCUGUCUCUUAUU
RNAcentral lists this ribosomal RNA (301 nucleotides) under uncultured bacterium. RNAcentral's name for it is "partial 16S ribosomal RNA". It matches the Rfam family "Bacterial small subunit ribosomal RNA", at positions 509 to 808 of the family's 1533-position model. The record is from RNAcentral.